UACGUAGGGGGCAAGCGUUGUCCGGAAUCAUUGGGCGUAAAGCGCGUGUAGGCGGUCCGGUAAGUCGGCUGUGAAAGCCCCGGGCUCAACCUGGGAAUUGCAUUUGAGACUGCAUAGCUAGGGUGCGGAAGGGGGAAGCGGAAUUUCCGGUGUAGCGGUGAAAUGCGCAGAUAUCAGGAGGAACACCAAUGGCGAAGGCAGCUCGCUGGGACGUGACUGACGCUGAGACGCGAAAGCGUGGGGAGCAAACAGG
Molecule: ribosomal RNA, 253 nt
Filed under: uncultured bacterium
Lineage: Bacteria
Description: partial 16S ribosomal RNA
Rfam family: Bacterial small subunit ribosomal RNA
Source: RNAcentral